UUUCCCUGUUGUUUGUGUUUUCAGAAAUGUCAAGCUCAGGGCAAUGCAGCAUUAGAAACAGAACAGAAAGGACCCAGCAACGCUACUGAAAUGACAGAAAACUCCUUGGCCUGGGCAUCUCUUUCAGAUUACCAACAGCUGAGUUACAACUUGAAUGUAAAUCUCUGCCAAGGUGGCCCACUGAAGAGCCGAAGCUUGAUGAAAGAUUCCUACACCCCUGAUGUAUUUCAGAAGGCAACCAUAGAUCCCAGGCAUUGGCAUGGAAGGACAAUUAAUGAGCUAGGGAGAUGGUUUGAGAAGUAUUUCCUAGCUGUUAACGUGCAGAAAGCAAUGAAGGAGAAAUAUGGGGGUAAAAAAAAAAGCCCUAGAAGAUGAAAGGUUGGAGAUUUGAGUGCAUUCAGCAACGAGUCUUUUUCCUCUGCCGACUAAUAAGCCUGCCUGUGAAACCUGAACCCAUCGUCUGCUAGCUGGCAACAGCAGAUUUGUUCCUGGUGCUUUCUCUCCUCUCUAUUAAAGCAUCUCUGGGAAGAGCACUGCAAGUCUGAAUAUGAGUACCAAAAAAAAUCACUUUGUUGGUCACUAGUACAGUGGGAAGGAAUAGGGUGUGAGGUACACACCCUUGCAGAAGGAUUGGUGGUGAGAGGAGCCCACACAGAAAUUCAUCUGCUCAGCAUUUAAGUUGGAGCAGGACCUGUGCAUGGUGUAAGAGGGCAGUGGUGGAAGAGGGGGGUGUGUGUGUGUGAAGAAACUCAUGUUUGCCAGAAGAUUCAUGACACUGACAGCUGCCCCAGUGCUCCAGAGAGUGCAGAGGAUGCAGUGGAAACCAACCAGGGUUGUCCCAGCAGCAGAAAGGUGCGAAAGCAAAUGGAAAUUCACCUGAGGAGGCAUCUGGCUGUUCAUGAAAGCUCAUACUAUUUGCAGGCCAAGCCAGGGAAAAACAAACAAACAAACAAACAAACAAACAAACAGCCUAUUCCACCUAAAGGCAACAGGAAAGCUGCAAGAAGCCUCAGGACUCCUCCAACGCACAAAUCACCCCACAAUGUUCAUGUACCCUUACUGAAGCUCUCACAAGCCCUACUUGCCCCUGACAGCCCUUUCCCUGACUCAGAGGUAAGUGACUCUCAGAGAGAAGCACGGGAAUCCAGCAUCCAGUCUGUACAACGUAAAGUUCGAGAGUGUAUCUGGACAGUAAGUAAGGACCACCCAAGCCUUGAAAGAUGCAGGAUAUGCAGAGUCUUUAGUGCUUCCUGAUGUGUUUUUCUCACCAAUUUAAUGGUCUUUAUUGCAGGACUCUGCCUUCCAGCUCCAAAGUGUAGCAAUUUGGUGCAGCAAUCACAAAGUACGUUUCUGGGAAUAGUGAUGCCCUGAUCUUCCCUAUCUGGUCCUAAGCUCUCACCAUUUUAGAAGAUUGAUGCUUUGCUCCAUGAUAUGAACUGUUUUGGGACAGAAUUAGGAUUGUUACUUCACCAUUGGCUGGUUAUUAGAUAACACUGUGCUGACUUUGUUCAAGUAGCGAAGGAGGUUAAAAUUUAGCUAAUAUGAUAAUCAAGUGAUAAUCAUUUUCCACCACCAAUAAUUAACCAUUUGGACUUAGGAUAUUUCCAGGCAGAUGUCCAAGUCUUUCAAAUUAAGGAGACCAGCCAAACUGCAGCUUGUAGAAACCUCUCUGUGGGUUUGCUUGGUACAUCAGUACUGAGUGGCUGCUGUCUGAGCACACACCACUCUCGCCUCUCCUGAACAGCACAGCUCUGUAGGAACAGACGGUUCUCUGUGUUACAUCCAGCACUGAUGGCCAAUAUAACUCCAGGUACAUAAUGAGGACUCUCUUCUGAGAACACAGCAGGUCCUAAUCCAGAAAACAUGGAGCUGAACAGACAUCUUCUGGUGUUGUUUGGCAUACUGGAAGCACACAGUUCAGGGCACAGUCAGCUAAUAGACAACACAUAGUGUGGGAUGGAUCCACACAUAAAUUUACAGAUCUGUUUCUACUAGACAUUAAAAAUGCCUAUUAGCCAUUAGAAAUAGACACUAGGACAAGCAGGCAGACUGCAGGAUUAUGGUUCAGCUGGAAACAAAUGCCCUUUUGCUAUUCAUGAAGGGCUCGUAAAGAGAGUAGAUUAGAAAAGAAAUGGACUAGAAGGUCCUGUUGGUGCACCACUGUGCACAAAAUGGGGUGCUUGCCUCUUGCAGUGAAGUCACUGUGUACACCUUUUACAAAUGAAAAUAUUUUAUAAGCACUUAAAUAGUAUAAAAUACUUGGUGUUGUAUAGUGCACUCAAAUGGGUGACAGCUGUUUGAUGACAAAUGAACAUACAUGUGUCGAUCCUCCUCUCUUCUUUGCUUUGCCAAGUGGUACAGCUCAGCCAGGGAUAAACACUUUCAGACAGGUGACACAUGAAAGCUGCAGAGAUAACUGAGAUUAUAGCUUUCAGUGAGGCAGCACAGCCACUGGGAACAAUCAAUACCUGAAGUCUUUGAGUGCUGAACAGACUAAUUUAGCCACAACCUUGGCAAGGAGCAUUUUCCUGUGUGGCACUCUGUGUUGUAGAGUGCUUUGGAUAUCCAAACAUGCGUAUGGAAAGCCAGCUUUGCAAUCUCCAGGUAUCAUGUCAUAUGCAGUUAGACAAGAACAGAGCUAAAAUAAGUACUCAUGCUCGCUGCAGCUGAAAUCUCCCUUCUAUCCAUUCUUUGGCCCUCAACAGUUCAUUCCUUCUUGCCUGUUUUGUGCUAGUGUUAGCACUUCCCUGUCCAAGCUCUGAACUGAGUCAAAUUGAUAAACCAGCAGAAAAUCAGUACAGAAGGGGAAAAAAAAAAAAACCACACAACAAAAAACAACAAAGCAAAAGUUAACAGGUUAACCAAUUAAAAUUUCUAAGCAAAGAUCCUUGUUGCAGACAAGGCAACGAGUGAUGGGAUGUGCAGAUGUUGGGAAAGAGGAGUAGAAAGAGAGUGGAGGUGGAAAUGGCCUUGCACUGCCUUAUUUUACACAGCAAGAAAUUCUUUUGCCUCCACUGUAUUCUCUCACAGGACUCGGUGCUUUGCAACACAGGUAGCCCGUAUUUAAGUGAUUUUACAAGGUCUGAUCAUUGGGUGGCAGCUCUGAGCCAUUGUUGUUAUCUGACAGGUCAGAAACUGGGGAAAAAAAGUGGGUUCUUCUCUGGUUUAGCUAAACCAUUCACUGAAAUUGCUGUUUAAGAACUGUUUGGGUCACCUCUAAACAGUCAAUCCACCUGAAGUAUAAUCAGACCACAAGGAUUUGAAGUAGAAGAAACCACUUGCAUCCCAGCUUCUGUAGCACUCUCCUCACAACUUUCUCUAGCAGUAAUGGCUACUUCCCAGUUCAGGUUUAUGCAUCUCUGCAGUUGAGGCACAGGUCAUUUUGCAGGAUAUCACCUUUAAUAAAGAUUUACUACUCUCCAAACAAUACUUCAUUUUUCUUUUCAUUUAACCCUCUGACCUCUUCCUAUCUCAUGCUAUCCUGAAUGAUUCCAACCUUUCGUAUUUCCACUGUGAAUGACUUUGAACGGCUCAUAUAAAGAGAUGGUAACAACUGUAAGAACAGAAGACAGACACUGCAAAAACUCUUAUUAGAGUCUUCAGCUGACUAUUCGAUUCAAUCCUUUGUGCUGUAAAGCUUGCACGGAAGUAAAAUUUAAGUUCAGAGCUACAUCUAUCCUGAGGUAAGCCCUGUAUUCCUAGAAGAAUGGAGUACUUACUGCUGAUCCUGCCUAUAAUGGGAUAAAAGAAAAAUCUAGCACUGCGUGAAGUGAUGAGAGAUCACAACAAAAAGGGAGCAGGUGAAUUGACUUCAGUGGAUUUCACUCUCAGGCACUGGGUUUAAAAUACAAUUGUGUCUUACAUUUGAAGGUAGUAAAAUCUCUUAUUCAUCAAGACAGAAUGGUGAUUUGAGGGUUAGGAAUUACCUGUGGUGUUCCACUUGAUAGUGGUCAAGGAGCCAAGGAGCAAGAAAAGUAUAAAACAAAACCAAAACUGAAAUGGUGUGUUCCUCAGGGUUCUCUUUGUGUUUUCCUUGAUGCAGACUCCUCUCUGACAGAGCCAAGGCUUCAUGGACUGAAGCUGGAAGAGCAGUGACCCAGUGUCAGGGGUGGGAUCACUGCACUUGGAAACAGUGCAAGAGGUUUAAGAACAACAACUCCUUACAGAUGGAGAACAGGCUCUCUCAGCUUUGGACAAAACAGGGAUGAGGGCUGCAUUGAAGAAUAUACAAGAAGGUUCUAUUGCUGAUUUUAGUGAACAGGCCUACCAAUUUUUAUGCUGACUUGCCAUUUUCCCCCUCUUAAUAAUAUUCCUUUUCUUUUAAACCCUUGGAUUCAUUGCUUCUGAGCAGAAAAACUGAUUAUCCAAGCUCAUUAUGUCCCCAAGUGAAACCAUUUUCUUUUCCUAUAACCCGAGAGCCUUGAACUGAAAUUGAUUAGCUAUUUUUAGAAAGAAGCUCUAGCUAAAUCUGACUUCUUCCCCUGCCAAUCACACCUAUCAGGGGAAUGAGAAACAAGCCUAUCUAAAUGCAGGUGCCUAGGAAUUAUGGCCUGUCCCUUUUACCAAAUACAUUAAUGUAACUAAAAAAGGGAUGGGAUUAUUUGAGAUCUUUCACCAUGUUGGACUAGAAGUUGGAGAGGAGAGGUAGCAUUUGUGGAAAGAAAAUGGGAUAAUAAUGGUGUUAUUUUUCGAAUUUUUGAUUUGGUUAUCUAAGAGCCCUGCAACUCCAGCAGGCUUUUCUGAAUCUCAAGGCUGGCUAUACUUUCUUUUUCCAACAGCUUUCUUUAGGGUUCUGAACACCCAUGCAUUGUCUUCCUUGCCACUGCUGGAUGAAAAAAAGCACAGGACUUGGCUGCUAUUAACAGCUCUCUAGCUGGCAGCUUUCUAAGGGGCCAACUGUACACAGACAGGAGAUGACCUGACGGGGUACACUGUCUUCCAGGAAGCCAGAAGGAACCUCUGGCCACAUCUCUUGUGCCUUCCUCAGAAGUUGCCAGCCUCAGACUUUUCUAUGUCACAGGAAGAGUGACAUGGAAACUGCCAACCACAAGUGUUCCAGUUCCAAGAUAUGAAAGCAAAAUUCAGCUUUUGAGAAAAAUCCAUGUUUUUCCUGUAAAUAAAACAGGAGCAGGGACCAUUCUCUGGCUGUCUGGUAAAUUGGCACAGACUGGCUGCAUCCACAGACUUGCUCUCCUUGGUCUCCCACAGAGCCUCUGUGGUCUAAAAUGCAGCUAAAGUUCUAUGUCUCUUUUAUUCACUUCAAAGUGCACAACACACUGUGUUACAGCUGUACUCCGAGUGAAAAAGGAUGUGCUUUGCACAGCCUGGGUGCAAAGUCUGCUGGAAUGCUGCUGAAGGACACUGGAUGCAGCCUAACCUGAUACAGCUGGGUCCAUGUUGCCCAGUGGGAAUGAUUUCUACCCUGUGCUAUCUCCCAAACGGUGCCAGGUUGUUAUCUUGGAGAGCACUGGUUGGCACACGCAAAACCAUGGCAGCAGGAGUGCUGACAACAAAGCAGUGCAAGCAGUUGCAAGGCAGUGUGUGAUACUACAUCUUGGCCCUGAUUUAUUUGGCACUAAUAACUGUGACUGCUAGCAUCAGCAUUUAUGAAGCUCACGAGUUUUCAGGGAUAUUUUGCAGUUAGUUUUGGAAAAUAAAGGGCCCUUGUCUCUUACAAACACUGAGUGUGAAACUAGACAAAGGGAGAAGACAACAAUUUCUGAGAAGCAACAAACAAACCCAUCUUUCCUUCACAUGACUUACAAAAGUACAAAUUAAAAAGACCUGACCCUGGCUCCUAAGAGCCAGAUAAUUAUCACAAGACCCAGGAGUCAGUUUAAUUUGUAUCAGCUUCCCCAGCUGCUUUGCAACCUAGGAUAUUUUCCCAAAGAGGAUGUUCUGGUCACCUUCCCACCCUGUCUUUGAAGACAUGACAUAAAUUUGAGGCAUUAUGGACUAUUUGGAGCUAUUUCUGAUCAGCCACACACUGGCUGGGACCAAUGCAGCUCUUUUUUGUUUACAUUCCACUUUUAAAGUCAGGCUUUGCUUCAAGGAGCAGAAAGUAUGUCAUUUCUAAAGGAUGAGGAGGUAAGGGAAUAUGUGUGUUUUCAUGAGAGGGAAGUUGUGUUCAGGCAAGGUGGGAGGAAUUCAGCCAGCAAGGUUUCCACUGCCUUUUAUUGAAACCUAUUUCCGAAGGAAAUGCAGAAGAAGAAAGGAAGCAGUUUUCUAUCCUCAGACUUCCAUCCAGGGAGGUCAAGGUCUGCAGCUGCAGUAACUCCCUACAAUUUCCAUAGAUGUUUGGAAGGUGUACACAGACCUAGGAGCUAAAUGGGUGAAAAUGCUUUAUCCCCCCCAUCACAAUGGGUGAUACCCAUGUUGAACCUGCUCUUACCCUAUGGCUAGUAAGGAAUUUUAGCAUUAGAUAUUAAAUACUAUAGUGUGAGAAUGUUUUAAAUACUUAAGACUAGAGACAAGACUUAGUGGUUCACCUUUAUCAUUCUGAAACAAGGAGAUAUUUAUCUCUGCCUGCACUGUCGGGUCAAAUUUGAAGUUGUAGUUCUCUUGAUCAUAUCCAUGGAUGUGACACACACAGGGUAUCAUGAAGUUCUGGCAGUCAGGGUGUUUUAGACCUUUGUGGGACCUUCAGAUCCAUUUCUUUGUUCAGAACCAUUUCUUUGCUCCUGGUUAAGCAGAAGGGAAAAAGGCAUGACUAUCUGAAUAGGAUGCUGCUACACAGCCCAAGUGUGUGGUUUCUGAAACCUUCCCACAUAUAUUCUGUUUCUAAAUCAAUAUUACAUUAUGCUGGCAUACUCCUGUAAUUCAUUAAGUGACAUGAAUAAAUUCCCUAAUAUCAAA
Molecule: long non-coding RNA, 6855 nt
Organism: Corvus hawaiiensis (hawaiian crow)
Lineage: Eukaryota; Metazoa; Chordata; Aves; Passeriformes; Corvidae
Exons: 3
Source: RefSeq, a predicted model, not a curated record